RNAcentral lists this long non-coding RNA (637 nucleotides) under Equus caballus (horse). RNAcentral's name for it is "lncRNA (ENSECAG00000047549.1)". The record is from RNAcentral. Lineage: Eukaryota; Metazoa; Chordata; Mammalia; Perissodactyla; Equidae.
AAAGUCUAACAUAGUCUAGCAAUGUGAUUUGUUUUGAUAAACAAAAGCAGUUUAUCAAAGUGGGAUUGGGAGGCCUGUCAACAGGUAUUUUUAGGAUUGGCUAAACAGGAAGAGCAGUAACAUCCUGAAAGAACUGUAUCUUUUGGUAGAUCCAAUCAGGCUAGCCAUCCACCAGUGUCACCUCUUAGAUCAGGCUCCAGGGUCAAAUCACAGUGCACGAUUCACUUCAUCUAAAGUGGGGAGGGUCAAAACCACUCAAAAGGCAAGUGUGUGAACAGAUUAAAAAUAGGCAGUUUUGUAAAGCUGGGCUGUGGUUCUUCCCAAAGGCAUGCAUCAGAAUCACCGGGAGGACUUGUGCGACCACAGAGCACUGGAUCCAACCCGAGACAUUUUGAUGCAGUUGGUCUCCAGUGGACUCAAGAAUUUUCAUUUCUAGCAAGCUCCCAGAACAAUUGGCAGCAAAAAAGCUUCCUUCACACUGAAGACCAAGCUCCAGGCAGGAGGAAAUGAAGCACUCCAGCAAUGUGUCAGAUAGGACCUGUUCCAAGAGUCUGAAUCUUGGAGUGAAGACAUGCAUGGAACAUGAAGCCAGUCAACAACAGCCAUGAUGUGUAGCAUGAGUGAGAAAUACACUCAG